AGUAACACGUAGGUAAUCUACCUUUUGAUGGGGAAUAACUUAGGGAAACUUAAGCUAAUACCGCAUAAUGCAGCGGCAUCGCAAGAUGACAGUUGUUAAAGGAGCAAUCCGCUUAAAGAGGAGCCUGCGGCAGAUUAGGUAGUUGGUAAGGUAAUGGCUUACCAAGCCUACGAUCUAUAGCCGACCUGAGAGGGUGGUCGGUCACACUGACACUGAAUAACGGGUCAG
This 228-nucleotide ribosomal RNA is filed under the name uncultured bacterium. RNAcentral's name for it is "partial 16S ribosomal RNA". It matches the Rfam family "Bacterial small subunit ribosomal RNA", at positions 109 to 334 of the family's 1533-position model. The record is from RNAcentral.